Molecule: small nuclear RNA, 103 nt
Organism: Molossus molossus (Pallas's mastiff bat)
Lineage: Eukaryota; Metazoa; Chordata; Mammalia; Chiroptera; Molossidae
Source: RefSeq, a predicted model, not a curated record
GUGCUCACUUCAGCAGCAUAGAUACUAAAAAUGGAAAGAUACAGAGAUUAGCAUGGCCCCUGCAGAAGGAUGACACGCAAUUCAUGAAGCACUCCAUAAAAAA